CAGCCGUAAACGAUGUGCGUUAGGUGUAUCGGUGACCACGAGUUACCGAGGUGCCGAAGGGAAACCGUGAAACGUGCCGCCUGGGAAGUACGGUCGCAAGGCUGAAACUUAAAGGAAUUGGCGGGGGAGCACCACAACAGGUGGAGCCUGCGGUUUAAUUGGACUCAACGCCGGGAAGCUCACCGGAUAGGACAGCAGAAUGAUUGCCGGGCUGAAGACUCUGCAUGACUAGCUGAGAGGAGGUGCAUGGCGUAGACGUCU
Molecule: ribosomal RNA, 261 nt
Filed under: uncultured archaeon
Lineage: Archaea
Description: partial 16S ribosomal RNA
Rfam family: Archaeal small subunit ribosomal RNA
Source: RNAcentral